RNAcentral lists this ribosomal RNA (253 nucleotides) under uncultured bacterium. RNAcentral's name for it is "partial 16S ribosomal RNA". It matches the Rfam family "Bacterial small subunit ribosomal RNA", at positions 524 to 776 of the family's 1533-position model. The record is from RNAcentral.
UACGAAGGGGGCUAGCGUUGCUCGGAAUCACUGGGCGUAAAGGGUGCGUAGGCGGGUCUUUAAGUCCGGGGUGAAAUCCUGGAGCUCAACUCCAGAACUGCCUUUGAUACUGAAGAUCUUGAGUUCGGGAGAGGUGAGUGGAACUGCGAGUGUAGAGGUGAAAUUCGUAGAUAUUCGCAAGAACACCAGUGGCGAAGGCGGCUCUCUGGGACGGUACUGACGCUGAGACGCGAAAGCGUGGGGAGCGAACAGG